RNAcentral lists this ribosomal RNA (253 nucleotides) under uncultured bacterium. RNAcentral describes it as "partial 16S ribosomal RNA". It matches the Rfam family "Bacterial small subunit ribosomal RNA", at positions 524 to 776 of the family's 1533-position model. The record is from RNAcentral.
UACGGGGGGGGCAAGCGUUGUUCGGAAUUACUGGGCGUAAAGGGCUCGUAGGCGGCCAACUAAGUCAGACGUGAAAUCCAUCGGCUUAACCGGGGAACUGCAUCUGAUACUGGAUGGCUUGAGAUUGGGAGAGGGAUGCGGAAUUCCAGGUGUAGCGGUGAAAUGCGUAGAUAUCUGGAGGAACACCGGUGGCGAAGGCGGCAUCCUGGACCAACACUGACGCUGAGGAGCGAAAGCCAGGGGAGCAAACGGG